CGCGUAGGCGGGAUUGCAAGUCAGAUGUGAAAUGCCAGGGCUUAACCCUGGAGCUGCAUUUGAAACUGUAAUUCUUGAGUAUCGGAGAGGCAGGCGGAAUUCCUAGUGUAGCGGUGAAAUGCGUAGAUAUUAGGAGGAACACCAGUGGCGAAGGCGGCCUGCUGGACGACAACUGACGCUGAGGCGCGAAAGCGCGGGGAGCAAACAG
Molecule: ribosomal RNA, 208 nt
Filed under: uncultured Eubacteriales bacterium
Lineage: Bacteria; Bacillati; Bacillota; Clostridia; Eubacteriales
Description: uncultured Clostridiales bacterium partial 16S ribosomal RNA
Rfam family: Bacterial small subunit ribosomal RNA
Source: RNAcentral